RNAcentral lists this ribosomal RNA (253 nucleotides) under uncultured bacterium. Its description in RNAcentral is "partial 16S ribosomal RNA". It matches the Rfam family "Bacterial small subunit ribosomal RNA", at positions 524 to 776 of the family's 1533-position model. The record is from RNAcentral.
UACGUAGGGGGCUAGCGUUGUCCGGAAUCAUUGGGCGUAAAGAGCGUGUAGGCGGUCCGGUAAGUCCGUUGUGAAAGUCAGGGGCUCAACUCAAGAAAUGCAUUCAGGACUGGGCGGCUAGAGGACCGGAGAGGAUAGUGGAAUUCCCAGUGUAGUGGUGAAAUACGUAGAGAUUGGGAAGAACACCAGUGGCGAAGGCGGCUAUCUGGACGGUUUCUGACACUAAGACUCGAAAGCGUGGGGAGCAAACAGG